UUGUGAAUAUCAUAAUCAGGGCAAUCUAAGCAUUCACUACUAUGUAAGACCAUACAUGUGUCCCCAUAUCUAGUUCUUUACCUACCUAGGCUCUUCCAAUAAAUGCUGGUGUUAAAU
RNAcentral lists this small nucleolar RNA (117 nucleotides) under Sorex araneus (European shrew). Its description in RNAcentral is "Small nucleolar RNA SNORA72 (ENSSARG00000019859.1)". It matches the Rfam family "Small nucleolar RNA SNORA72". Rfam says of the family: U72 is a member of the H/ACA class of snoRNAs. The snoRNA gene is located in intron 4 of the ribosomal L30 protein gene in human, mouse and chicken. Lineage: Eukaryota; Metazoa; Chordata; Mammalia; Eulipotyphla; Soricidae. The record is from RNAcentral.